Anastrepha ludens (Mexican fruit fly) is the source of this 1354-nucleotide long non-coding RNA. RefSeq lists it as uncharacterized. The transcript has 3 exons. NCBI's taxonomy places the organism in Eukaryota, Metazoa, Arthropoda, Insecta, Diptera, Tephritidae. The record is from RefSeq and is a predicted model, not a curated record.
CCCAGACCUGAAUCUUGAAGAACACGUUAAACGUUAUAAGUCUGGUUAUGCUUAGAUUAUUCUAAAUUUUCCCUCUUUUACUUCUAUUCGUUAAAAAAUCUAGACCGUUCCCGCGAAAAGCUCCAGAGUAAAAUUUGCUGAAAAGAAUGUUAUGGUCAACUAUAUCGAAUGAUUUGGGCACAUCAACAAAAAGAUCAAAAAGAUGCCGAAGUAGCCCCGGACAGCACGGGGCAGCAAAAAUUGACGUCGAUGACACGUCUCGCAGGGGAAGAACGUCUCAAAUCACUUUGAAAGGAAAACGGUUGCCAAACCAGUCGUGAAUUGGCGAAAAACUGAGUUGCGAUCGUAAAACGUUUCUCAAUCCCCUUCAUUCAAAGGGAGUUACCGAAAAAUUGAAAGCCCCCACGAGCUCAACGAAAAAAACAAAUAAAAUCGUCUUCAAAUUGCUUCUCAGCAUCUCGCCCGCCAUCGAGCAACACCGAAUCGUCACGUGUGAUGAGAAAUGGUGCCUAUAAAUCAAUAUAAAGAAAAGAAAGCAGUGGAUGGCUCCAGGAGAUACACCAAAGCUGAGAGUCAAGGCGGAUCUUCAUCCAAAGAAUAUCAUGAUGUGUGUGGCAUGGUGCACAGGAAAAUGCGCGAAAAGAGUCCCAGGAUCUACAAGGAACUCUACAUUGCCCAGCCACACCGCGUGAAUUAGGCUAUUCGACUGAAAAUACCUGGAGUUGAAUCAUCAUAUCAGCGAACAUACCAAAUGUCACUGAAAAGUGCAACUGAACGUAUUCAUUUUAUCGAACUGUCAUUCGAACACCGACAGCCGCCCGUUAAUGAUCGAAUUUAAAAAAGAUGAUGAAUUUCAAUAAACUCAACCCUAUCCAAAAAGAUGUCAUGGCGGAGUAUAUGGCCAACAAAUACUGCAAUUAGAAGCCCUACACGACAACUUAGGGAAAUAAGUACUUGCAAUUUUUAAUUUUAGUUUGAAGUACUCAGUGGAGGCUUAUUGAUUUUAAAAGUUGUUUUUGAUUUUUUUAUUUACUUUUGUAUUCUUUAGUAUUUAAGUAUUUAUGACUGAGGAAACAGUUUUAUGUGGUAAAUGCAACAAGUGACCAUUAAUGAUGCAACAAUUAAUAACCCAAAUGACAAGUAUGAUGAACAUAUUAACAAUGCUCGUUACCAAACUAGAUGAACGAAAGAAAUGAAAUUAAUUUAGCUAUAUGGAAUGCGAAUGGACUUGCUCGCCACGUUCCUAAAUCAUUUUUAAUACAUAAAUCAAUCGAUACAAUGUUGAUCUCUGAGACUCAUGCCACUGACAAAACUUUUGUUAUCAUACCGAACUACCUAUAAUAAAAUUACACAA